Molecule: ribosomal RNA, 399 nt
Filed under: uncultured bacterium
Lineage: Bacteria
Description: partial 16S ribosomal RNA
Rfam family: Bacterial small subunit ribosomal RNA
Source: RNAcentral
AAUAUUUCACAAUGGGCGAAAGCCUGAUGCAGCAACGCCCCGUGAGUGAGGAAGGCCUUCGGGUCGUAAAGCUCUUUGAUCAGGGAUGAUAAUGACAGUUCCGGAAAAACAAGCCACGGCUAACUACGUGCCAGAGACCGCGGUAAUACGUAGGUGGCGAGCGUUGUCCGGAAUUACAGGGCGUAAAGGAUGCGUAGGUGGAUACUUAAGUGGGAUGUGAAAUCACAGGGCUCAACCCGGGAACUGCAUUCCAAACUGGGUAUCUAGAGUGCAGGAGAGGAAAGCGGAAUUCCUAGUGUAGCGGUGAAAUGCGUAGAUAUUAGGAGGAACACCAGUGGCGAAGGCGGCUUUCUGGACUGUAACUGACACUGAGGCAUGAAAGCGUGGGUAGCAAACAGG